Molecule: unclassified non-coding RNA, 208 nt
Filed under: soil metagenome
Description: partial contains small subunit ribosomal RNA, internal transcribed spacer 1, and 5.8S ribosomal RNA
Source: RNAcentral
UCUCCGUAGGUGAACCUGCGGAGGGAUCAUCACUGAUGGGGAGCCUCUCGUAGAGAGGCGACUCUUUGUUCCCUUGUGAAUUUGGGGAGCGGCGGCAUUCGCCACCGCUCCCUUUCUGCAUAGAUUCCUUUGCAAUAGUCGGUCCAAACCAAUAAAUAUAAUCAUUAUAACAAAAACACAACUUUCAACAAUGGAUCUCUUGGCUCUC